This 1318-nucleotide ribosomal RNA is filed under the name Tamolanica tamolana. Its description in RNAcentral is "LSU rRNA". The stretch from base 1070 to 1228 matches the Rfam family "Archaeal large subunit ribosomal RNA", at positions 2542 to 2701 of the family's 2987-position model. Lineage: Eukaryota; Metazoa; Arthropoda; Insecta; Mantodea; Mantidae. The record is from RNAcentral.
UAUUAAUAAAAUUGUUUUAUUGAUUUUUUUUGUUUGUUAUUUUAAAUUAAGUAAAUUUGAGUUAUUGUAGAAUGAAUUGAUUGAAUUAUUUUUACUAUAGUAAAUUAGUACUGUAAAGGAAGAAUCAUGUAAGUUUUAUAAUCAAUAAAAGGUAAUUUUAUUUAUUGUAUCUUGUGUAUCAGAGUGUAUUUAAAUGGAUUAUAAAAUUUUUUUCUCUCGAAUUUAAAAGAUUUAAUUAAAAAUAUUAGUUAUUGUUGCAUAGAUAUUAAUAAUUUUUAAUUGGUAAUGAAACGUUAUUCGUUUUUAAGGAUAUCUAGUUUUUUAAUAAAUGAAUUUAAUUCAGAAAAUAUAAUUUAUUAAAUAAUUGAUUAUUUAAAUAUUUUAUGUUUUUAAUUUUAAAAGGGAUAAACUUUUUAAAAUAUAAUUAUAAUAUUGUGAGUUAAAGGAGGAUUUUAUGAAUUUAGAAUUUGUUAGUGAUUAAAGAAUGUUAAAAUUUAAUUCUUUAUUUAGGUGAUUUAUGAACUUUUAUUUAAUUUUUAUAUUAAAAUGUUAAGUUUAAUUGAGAAAUUUUAGAAAAUAUGAUUUAAUUAGUAAAAUUUUGAUUUAUUUUGUUAAAUUGGUUGAUAUGUUAGUAUGAAGAAUUAGGCAAAACUUUUGCUCACCUGUUUAUUAAAAACAUGGUUUCUUGUAUUUUAUUUAAGAAAUUUGACCUGCCCGCUGAAUAAAAUUUUGAAGGGCCGCAGUAUAUUGACUGUGCAAAGGUAGCAUAAUCAUUAGUCUUUUAAUUGAAGGCUGGUAUGAAUGGUUGGAUGAGGUAAAUUCUGUUUUAUGUUAAUUUGUGUUGAAUUUAGAUUUUAAGUAAAAAGACUUAGAUGAUAUUAAGGGACGAGAAGACCCUAUAGAGUUUAAUAAAUGUAUUAAUUAGUUGAGUUAUGAAUGUAAUUUUUUAUUAUUAUAAAAUUUAUUUAAUUGGGGUGAUUGAAAGAUAAAUGUAACUCUUUUUUAUAUUUAAUAUUUUGAUUAGUUAUUUGAUCCAUAUUUAAUGAUUAAAAGAUUAAAUUACCUUAGGGAUAACAGCAUAAUUCUUUUUGAGAGUUCUUAUCGAGAAGGGAGAUUGUGACCUCGAUGUUGGAUUAAGAUUAGUUUUGGGUGUAGAUGUUCAAGAACUAGGUCUGUUCGACCUUAGAAAUCUUACAUGAUCUGAGUUUAAACCGGUGUGAGCCAGGUUGGUUUCUAUCUUUAAUUAAUUUAGAUAUUUUAGUACGAGAGGACCAAAUAUUUAAAAUAAUUUUUAUUUUUAUGGAAUACUGUUAAUUAA